Macaca fascicularis (crab-eating macaque) is the source of this 116-nucleotide unclassified non-coding RNA. It matches the Rfam family "Metazoan signal recognition particle RNA". Rfam says of the family: The signal recognition particle (SRP) is a universally conserved ribonucleoprotein. It is involved in the co-translational targeting of proteins to membranes. NCBI's taxonomy places the organism in Eukaryota, Metazoa, Chordata, Mammalia, Primates, Cercopithecidae. The record is from Ensembl.
GCCAGGCAUGGUGGCUCAUGCCUGUAAUCCCAGCAUUUAGGAGGCAGAGGUGGGUGGAUCACCUGAGGUCAGGAAUUCAAGACCAGCCUGACCAACACGGUGAAACCCCUUCUCCA